AUUGAACGCUGGCGGAAUGCUUUACACAUGCAAGUCGAGCGGCAGCGCGGGGCAACCUGGCGGCGAGCGGCGAACGGGUGAGUAAUGCAUCGGAACGUGUCCAUGUCGUGGGGGAUAGCCCGGCGAAAGCCGGAUUAAUACCGCAUACGCCCGAGAGGGGAAAGUGGGGGACCGCAAGGCCUCACGCGAUUGGGUCGGCCGAUGUCCGAUUAGCUAGUUGGCGGGGUAAAGGCCCACCAAGGCGAUGAUCGGUAGCUGGUCUGAGAGGAUGAGCAGCCACACUGGGACUGAGACACGGCCCAGACUCCUACGGGAGGCAGCAGUGGGGAAUUUUGGACAAUGGGGGCAACCCUGAUCCAGCCAUUCCGCGUGAGUGAAGAAGGCCUUCGGGUUGUAAAGCCCUUUUGUCCGGAACGAAACGGAUGACGUGAAUAUCGUCGUCUACUGACGGUACCGGAAGAAUAAGCACCGGCUAACUACGUGCCAGCAGCCGCCGUAA
Molecule: ribosomal RNA, 499 nt
Filed under: uncultured bacterium
Lineage: Bacteria
Description: partial 16S ribosomal RNA
Rfam family: Bacterial small subunit ribosomal RNA
Source: RNAcentral